This is a long non-coding RNA of Cavia porcellus (domestic guinea pig), 3189 nucleotides long. RefSeq lists it as uncharacterized. NCBI's taxonomy places the organism in Eukaryota, Metazoa, Chordata, Mammalia, Rodentia, Caviidae. The record is from RefSeq and is a predicted model, not a curated record. The transcript has 3 exons.
UCCUGCAAUCUUUAGGAGAAUGUGCCCCGACUAGCUGGAGAAUGUUCCCAGACCAGCCUCCUGAGGUAACAUGAACGACUUGUCCAUGUGCACGAGAAAGAGGGACAAGCAGGGGAGAACUCAGUUGUCCCCCCGGAGGCCAUUACCCAUCAGCCAAUAGCCAACAGCCAGCUGCCCAGCAGAUAUGUGGACACCACAAAAAUUGCCGUUGGUAGAAACAGCUCUUCCCAGUAAUGGAGAUCCUUUCAAAAUGAUGUGUAAACCCGAGCUGUCCGAAAAUAUCAGAAUGGAUGGGAGCUAUUUGUAAAUGCUCCUCUGCACUGAAUGUGGUUAAGAAAGAGGAGGGUGAGGAGAAGCUGGGUAGGCAUGCACUGCCUGCUACAACUGGUGCUCCCCAAGUGUUCUUUCUGUCUCCUGUCUGGUGGGACAUGAUGACAAGCUAGACGAGCAAUCAUCUGCAGCAGCAUGAUGCACUUAGAGGCCAUCAAAAUGCAGUCCAUGGCCAGGGACCUGAACGCAAAGCCUGGGGAUUCAUAGCAGGUGAAGGGAUGGGUUUAUGACCACUUUUAAGGUUGCUGCAGAGUAUAUGAGCUGUGGUCAAAAUAUAUGUGAAUAUUUAAGUAGAAAAAUUCCAACAAAGGGGCUGGGGAUUUAGCUCAGCAGCAUAAGCACCUGCCUUGCAAGCAGGCAGUCGUGAGUUCGAUCCCUGGUACCGAUAAAAAAGAAAAAGACAAAAAAAAAAAAAAAUUCCAACAAAAGGCAUGCCAUUAAUGCCUUUCAAAAUACCCUACUAGAGAGCAAAGUAAAAAUGGCAGAUAGAUAAGAACAGAUUACAGAGGCUCCCUGAGGCAGACUCAGAUGCCAAAAUAACACAGCAUGGGGAAUCCCAGACAGAGGGAGAUGGAUCCUCUCGACCUAGGAAGAAACUAAAGCAAAAAGAACCAGUCAAACAUGCAGUGCUGGGGCUGGGGAUUUAGCUCAGUGGCUUAAGCGCCUUCCUGGCAAGCCCAAGGUCAUGAGUUUGAUCCCCAGUACCAAAAAAACAAAAACAAAAACAAACAAACAAACAAACAUUCAGUGCCAGGGCUACUAUUGAGGCAGCUAAGAUUCUGUGCUCUCACGGGCCCUAAUUCCUGCCACUUCGACUUGUGGGAACUACAGUUGCACCAAAGUUGGAGGUUGGCGAGCCCAACAGAGAACAGAGCUGGCAAGGGACCUGCAUCAACCUGCAGUGAGUACUGGGAAUACAACCUUUCCACAGGAAAGGGGCACCAAUGGGAUGAAUCCGGUAAGACUGGCAAGAACAAGGAACGUCAGUGACUUCAGUCAGUUGUUCCCUUCCCAGACGAGAUUAGUGGGGUAUGCUUGGUGUGGGUCACACCCCUGGCUGAGACCCAAUAAGCUGUCCCAAACCAGUUCCCUACACGCGGUGUAUACUAAGGCAGUGAAGGCCUCAGCAGGUUGACUGACCCGGAGGGGAAGAACCAGUAUAUGCCGCCCCUGUUUGCACCUCAAUAACACACUGGAAUGGGCAGGAUCACCUAGCCAGUGUGCUUCAGAAGAACCAUAACCAACAAGCAAAGGGACUGGGAUCUCCUCUAUAUGCCUGUAUGGAAGAAACAAAAACUAUGAGAAGAGGAAGCAACAAGAAAAAGUCCCCAGCCCCUAACCCUGAGAACACUAAUCCAGGAGAGGUAAAUACAAAAGAGACUGAGGACAGCAAACAUGCAAUAUCAGAUAUGGCAUCAGUGGACACAAAGAGAUAUCUUCGGGACCUCAUAGACGAGUUUAAAAGUGAAAUAUUUAACCAAGUAAAGCAAGAUAUAAGUAGAUUUAAAAAAGAAAUGCUAAGCAUCUCUCAAGAAGACACAGAUGGAAGAAUGGAGGAGCACAAAAAAAGGAGAGAAAUGUUUGAUGAAGAAUAUAAAGAAAACAUGAAUUAGGUUCAAAGAGAUUACCAGGAAAUAAAAAACUCCAUUGAAAGCUGGCAAAACUGCUUGAAAGAAACUAAGGAUAGAUUAUCUGAACUAGAAGAUAGGUUUGCAAUGUGUGAUCAUGAAAGGAAAGAUUUCUUAAAAAUAACAAGGAAACAGGCAGUAACAAUACAAAGACUAGAAGACGACAAGAGGAUCUAUAACUUAAGAAUAAAGAAUGUGAAUGAAGAAGCAGGAGUACAAACAAAGAAACUAUAAAGGCUACUCACAGAAAUAAUUAAGGAAAACUUCCCAAGCAUAGGAAAAGGAAAUGAUAUUCAGAUGUAUGAGGCAUACAGAACUCUAGCCACCUACAACCAAAACAGAGCUAUACCCAGGCAUACAGUAAUAAAGAUCCCAGAAAUUCAGUAUAAGAACAGAAUAUUAAAAGCCAUCAGACAAAAGAAAUAGAUCACCUAUAAAGGAAAAUCUAUCAAAAUCACAGCAGACUUCUCGACACAGACCACCAAAUCAAGAAGCGCUUGGAGCAAAGUAUUCCAAGCCCUGAAAGAAAAUAACCUCCAGCCCAGAUUGAUUUAACCUGAAAAACUGUCUCUAGAAAUUAAUAGAGAAACAAGAUACUUCCAAGACAAAGAGGAACCAGGGGGAAUUCAUGAUUACCAAUCCAACUCUACAGAGACUACUGAAGGACAUUAUAUAUAGAGAGAAAAGUACCAGGAUUCCAGGAACAGUGGCAGAGAGGCCUCAAUGAAAGGAACAGAAAGUGGAAUGAAGGAGAAAAGCAGACAACUAAUGGCAGAAAAAGAGCACAACAGAAAUGAGGCAGAGAAAGGUUGGCUAUAAUGUCUAAUACAGAUGGCCUUUGAUACACUAAAAAAAAGAGAGAAACAUAGGCAGAGUAGAUCAGGAGGUAGGGUCCACCGAGAUGCUCGUUAUAGAAAAUAUAAGUAAACUGAAAAAGGGUUUAUGGACUGAAAAUAAAAUAUGAGAAAACAAUGCUCUAUGUGACAGGGAACCAGAAAGUAAUAGGGGCAACUAGACCAGAAUUUGAGGAUAGGUUGGAAAGACAAGUUUUAAAUAGGUAAAGGAAUACAACUAGAGACCAAGUCCAGGAGGGAGAAGGUUUGGAACCACUUAGGUAAAUAGCAGGUUCCCUCGCCAAUCUAAAAACUGAGGGUGUUGGUGAGACCCAAAAAUGCACAGUGCACCCUGGGGGAGUGAAAGAGGAGGAAUAGUCUUAAAAAAGAUGGCAAAA